This 269-nucleotide long non-coding RNA is filed under the name Olea europaea (common olive). RNAcentral describes it as "long non-coding RNA (OEUR_LNC006008)". Lineage: Eukaryota; Viridiplantae; Streptophyta; Magnoliopsida; Lamiales; Oleaceae. The record is from RNAcentral.
GAUUGAAUCUUAAAUCAUCCGUGGUCGUAAGUAAUAACGAGAUACGGAUAUCGUUAUUACGGAUAGACCAUCACGUGUAGCAUUUCUUACUUGUGAAGUAAGUAGCUGAUCUCACAAGUUAAAGUGUGGUGACACUUAAAUGAACACGUGGAUGUUUGUUAUAGAACAAAACAUUGGAGACCCGUCGAGAGAUUCCACAUGGAUAACUAUCUGAGUGUCGGUGGUUAAUCUCUAACGUUCGGUAGUGAAAUUGGUCCUUUGACUUGAGG